AAAAGCCACCCAAAAAUGGCGGCGUGAGAUGGGCUAAUUGGACUAAACACAGUAAGGAAGGCUCGUACAUGAAUCGUAAUUCUUAAAGAGUUUCAAAACGAAGGUGCACAAAUCCUCUUUAGCUCUAAAUGUAUCUAAAUGCUGGUUAAGAAAAACUUAUUGCUGGUUUUACACUCGCAAAGUUUCUGUGAUCACAGUAGGAAUUUUGGGUAAUCGUUCCAUGCUUCGCGCUCCAAUAUAGUAAACGUUAUGUAAUGGAUAUUAUAGUGUACUGAAAAGUUAACUGGAUUCCUCCAUACACAUAUAUACACACCCUAACCUUAAACCUAACCCCUAGUGCCUAACCCCUAACCUAUAUUGGUGCGCGAAACACGGAACGAUAAGUUUUGAAGGAUUUGUAAGAAAUAUUUGAUGGGACUGACUCAGUAUUAAACACCGAGUCAAUUCCCUCAAACAUUUCUUACAAAUCUUUCAAGAAUUUGCCGAUGAAAAAUUCCUACUGUGAUCGCAUAAACUUUGAUGGUGUAAAACCAGCAAUAAGAUUUUUUUCUUAAUCCUGUUUAGCCCCCUCCCCCUUCUUAGAUUAGUAAGCCCCCAUUUCUAUCAUGUUAUCUCUCUAUAUUAUUCUAUUAAUUGUGCAUUGACAAAUCUGUCGAAAGGUACGCCACCAUUAAUAUGCUCGCUGAGCCUUCAAUUUUCUACGCAUCAUUCAAAUAGUCGUAUUGUAGAAAUGUAAUAUAGAGGCAAAAAGCUGGUAUUUUUGUCUGGUAGCAGUCUGCCAGCUCUAUGUGUUGGCAAAUUUGUUUUUAUAUUAUAUUACUUAUUGUAUUGAAUUAUGUUAUAUUCAUGUUGUUGCCCUGUUCUCAAAUUCAUUAUUUGACAUGAUAGAAUUGAAUAAAAGAACAGCGAAAGGCA
Molecule: non-coding RNA, 915 nt
Organism: Paramuricea clavata
Lineage: Eukaryota; Metazoa; Cnidaria; Anthozoa; Malacalcyonacea; Plexauridae
Source: the annotation of a GenBank genome assembly